CCACGGCCAAGGGAACGGGCUUGGAAGAAUCAGCGGGGAAAGAAGACCCUGUUGAGCUUGACUCUAGUCUGGUACUGUAAGGAGACAUGAGAGGUGUAGCAUAAGUGGGAGGCGGCUCGAUCGCCGACAGUGAAAUACCACUACUUUCAUCGUUUCCUUACUUACUUGGUGAGGCGGAGGUCGUCCGUCGGAGUGUCUGCACUCCGGCGCGACGGUAUUCUCGCGCCAAGCGCCAAGGGUUGCCGGCGGCCGG
RNAcentral lists this ribosomal RNA (253 nucleotides) under Hydara tenuicornis. RNAcentral describes it as "partial large subunit ribosomal RNA". It matches the Rfam family "Eukaryotic large subunit ribosomal RNA", at positions 2365 to 2587 of the family's 3401-position model. The record is from RNAcentral. Lineage: Eukaryota; Metazoa; Arthropoda; Insecta; Hemiptera; Coreidae.